RNAcentral lists this ribosomal RNA (250 nucleotides) under uncultured prokaryote. RNAcentral describes it as "partial 16S ribosomal RNA". It matches the Rfam family "Bacterial small subunit ribosomal RNA", at positions 524 to 773 of the family's 1533-position model. The record is from RNAcentral.
UACGUAGGGGGCGAGCGUUAUCCGGAAUUACUGGGUGUAAAGGGUGCGUAGGCGGCACACUAAGUCAGCUGUGAAACCUGCAGGCUCAACCUGCAGCUUGCAGUUGAAACUGGUGAGCUAGAGUACAGGAGGGGAGAGCGGAAUUACUAGUGUAGCGGUGAAAUGCGUAGAUAUUAGUAAGAACACCGGAGGCGAAGGCGGCUUUCUGGACUGAAACUGACGCUGAGGCACGAAAGCGUGGGGAGCAAAC